This is an RNA transcript of Anguilla rostrata (American eel), 7516 nucleotides long. It is a transcript of the gene named potassium voltage-gated channel subfamily KQT member 2-like, with no coding region annotated. The transcript has 11 exons. The record is from RefSeq and is a predicted model, not a curated record. Lineage: Eukaryota; Metazoa; Chordata; Actinopteri; Anguilliformes; Anguillidae.
UGCAGAUUCUUGUGCGCUACUCAGUUGGCUUUGCAGAAGCAGCAGCGAAGGCAGCGAGCUACCAGGCAGUAACGGGUCUCGUGCGUCUCCGCACGCCCAGCCCUGCGAUGCUUCCACGCGGCAAAGAGUCUAAAACAUUUCCGACUUGCUACCCAUGACAGCAGACUUCAAGGAUGGUGCAGAAGUCCCGCAACGGCGGCGUUUAUCCGGGUCCAGCCGGGGAGAAAAAGCUCAAAGUCGGCUUUGUUGGACUGGAUCCCGCUGCUGCCGACUCAAACAGAGACGGGGCACUGCUCAUAGCAGGUUCGGAAGCGACGAAACGGGGCAGCAUUUUAAGUAAACCCAGAUCCAGCAUCUCCGUUUCCGGGAGGCCACCCAAGACCAAGAGAAAAGCCUUCUAUAGAAAACUACAAAAUUUCCUUUACAAUGUCCUGGAAAGACCGAGGGGAUGGGCGUUUAUAUACCACGCUUAUGUCUUUCUGUUGGUGUUCUCCUGCCUGGUCCUCUCUGUCUUCUCCACCAUACCGGAGUACGAGAAGAGCUCGGAAGACGCCUUGUACAUCCUGGAAAUUGUGACCAUCGUGGUGUUCGGGGUGGAGUACAUCGUGAGGAUCUGGGCCGCGGGGUGCUGCUGCCGCUACCGCGGGUGGAGGGGCAGGCUGAAGUUCGCCCGCAAGCCCUUCUGCGUGAUCGACAUCAUGGUGCUGAUAGCCUCCAUCUCGGUCCUGGCGGCCGGCACCCAGGGGAACGUCUUCGCCACCUCCGCCAUCAGGAGCCUGCGGUUCCUGCAGAUCCUGCGGAUGAUUCGAAUGGACCGGCGGGGCGGGACCUGGAAGCUGCUGGGAUCGGUGGUCUACGCGCACAGCAAGGAGCUGAUAACAGCCUGGUACAUCGGCUUUCUGUGCCUCAUCCUGGCCUCCUUCCUGGUUUAUCUGGCCGAGAAAGAAGACAACCAGGAGUUUGCAACCUACGCGGACGCACUGUGGUGGGGACUGAUCACUCUGACUACAAUAGGAUAUGGCGAUAAAUACCCCAUCACGUGGAACGGACGGCUUCUCGCGGCCACCUUCACCCUCAUCGGCGUGUCUUUUUUCGCACUUCCAGCGGGAAUCCUGGGCUCUGGGUUUGCCCUCAAGGUCCAAGAGCAACACAGGCAAAAGCACUUUGAGAAGCGCCGCAAUCCUGCUGCCGGUCUGAUACAGGCUGCAUGGAGGUUUUAUGCCACCAACCUCACACGAACAGACCUUCUGUCCACCUGGGAUUACUACGAGCGAACUGUGUCAGUGCCCAUGUACAGACUCAUUCCUCCCCUGAACCAGCUGGACCUCCUGCGCAAUCUGAAGAGCAAAUCGGGACUGUCCUUCAGGAAGGAAUCUCAGCCAGAGGCCUCACCCAGGUUGGUGUCCCAGAGCAGAUUUUUACUCUUUUCCAGAAUGACCCUGCUCACCUCUGAGCGUGUGUCACCUGCUCUUGUGUUAUUCCCACAUUCGGUGUUGGAUCUGCAGUGCAUGCAGUGAAGUGAUGUUAUGUGCAUACUGUCUGUCCUGCAGGAAGUUUUCUUUAAGGACAUAAUGUUUUCAUCCACAAAUAUCUACCACGUGAGCUCCAUAAGUAUCACCUGGUGCCAAAAUAAGAUUUGGCUGUGAUUAUUUUUUCGGUUACAAUUAAUUUAGCUUCCAGCCUGACUCGAAACCAGUUCUGAAAGUAGCAGAUACUCAUUUGUGUCACUGUAAAACUCAUCUUUAAAUAACAAACACAAAUAAAUGACAUGGAUUUUACUGGUAUGUAAUUACAUGAUAAUUAAGCAGUACUUGUAUGUACAUACAUAUAACAUAUUCAUCUCAAUAAUGUGGCGAUAUUGAGUAAGACUACAUUUACAAUGCGAAUACACAGCAAGUACAGAUGCAAUGUAAAGUUCUGCUUAGUAUUUGUCUUGAAAUAUGCUUGUUUCAAGCCAUUUGCAUCACCUUAUGUUGUCGAGCUGAAGGUGUUACUGCUUUGGGGAAAUAUCAAUGGUUUCUAAAUGAAUAGGUCACAGCAGCAAAUGUCUUCAUUUAGAGAACCAUUCCCAAACCAACUCAUUAAAAUGUAACUGCCUACUUGGAAUUCUAGCUGUAAUUGGCCUUUAAAGAACAUUAUUGUCCUUAAUCCACCUCUUUAAUAUCCAGUCCAAGCUCAGAUAUUGUACACUGCACUCUACAAAAUAAGACUUGCACUCCCAAGAGAGGAUGGCAUUGUCCUGGUAGUGCUGUAACUCUGAUGUUUUUGUGGCAGUUUUCCCAAAAUGCCUGUAUAGUGCUUUGAUCAGGUUUUCAAACUCUCUCUGGGUGAGGGGGGAUAAAAGCUGUUGAAACCGGUUGUUAAAGGAAACACUUUCAGUAAUUAGGACCUAAUUUAUUUCACCCCGUGCCUCACAAAUGUGACUACACUCAUGUAACUAAUUAAAAAAACACUGGGAAAAAAGGACUGAAAAACGUUUGCAGAUAUUGCAAGCAUUAGUUGCUCUCGCUGAUUGAAAGUCCUGGUAUGUGAAUAUGGGACUUUUAUUCUUUACAGAAUGCACCGCUAAUUCUCACAUAAAUGUGCCUUCCCAGGGUAAAUCAUCCCUUGAGGCAUUAAACGUGUUGAAUGUAGAGCAAAUAGCAGCACUUUACAUAUCAGAGUUGCAAUUGUGGUUGGAACAAAAACCAGCAUGCACAGGGGUCCCCCAGGAUCAAGCUUGAAACUCUCUGAGCUGCACCGAUGGGUUGAUGGUUUUCAGAGCACCCAUCAGGGAGCGCUAAUUUUAAACCCGACGACGCACUCCGACUUGUACGCUUACCUCUCAAAGCACAGAGUGCGGUUACUAUGGCAACCCGUUUUCUAUUAUCACAUGAAAUAUGGUCACGUUCAGGCAUUCAAUAUGAAUGUAAAUCAGUCAUUGAAACAUUUACAUCAUCCAAGCCUGGCAUACAGAACAGAUCUUCAUUAUGACCACGUCAGACAUUCCCUGAACAUCCUGACAUCACUAUUCAUUAUGCAUUAGCUUCAUUUGCUAGUUCAUUUGCUAGAAUUAAUCUGACUUGUUUUCUGUUAAAUUUUUCAUAGAAUGACACAUCUAUGAUGAUCAUUAAGUAUACCGGAAGCAUUUUUUUUUUCACAGUGAUCUUUCAAAUCCUCUCAUUUUGUAAGAAAUCCCAUAAAGGGAGUAUCAAAGGGGGUAGGUCCCUGGCUUCUCUAAUCUGAUAUCAUUACAUUACCUUACGAGUAAAGUUAUGCCAAGUCAUAAACUAGAAGUGACACAUGUGAUGAAAAGAGAUAGAGACAGAGUUACAACAUCAAGAUGAAGAUACAAGUGCAACAUGAAAGUGCUAGGAGAUCAUGAUACAGGUGUUACAAAGAGUGGUGCUUGAUUUGGUGUAGUCCUGCAGAGUCCUGCAAUUUGGAGCACCUGCAGGGGAGAGCAUUACUAAGGAGUUGCACAGGAAAUGCACUGUUCUGCCGAAUUGACUGCGAAGCACAAUUGGCAGCAGUCCGUGGAGGGAAGAUGAACACAAGCUGGCUGGAUAUGGACAUUAGUCCAUUUAAUCCCACAUAGUUUAAGGAGGCUACAUUGAUGGUAUGCACUAGUACUUAAAAUGUAAAUUUGGACAGCAGAAUGUAAUUUAAGCACAAUAUAUAAUGUAAAAUAUAAAAAAGAGAAGAAAGAAAAGCAGACUUGCAGCCCAUGUACUGUACCUCCCUCAGGGGACAUACCAACUUCACUUUGCGUGAAACUACGCUCGUACACAUAGCCAUAAAAUGUGCUGUAGUCACAUGACCGAGGGUGAAGGGCAGGAGGAUGGUCUUUAUGCUCAUGUGCGGUAGUGGGCGGCCGUCCUCUAACCCAGCCGUCUCCCUCGUUUUCAGUAACAACAGCUCAUGCAAAGAGGCCCUUUGUGGGUGCUGCUCGGGACAAGCUAGGUAUCGCAGGAGAAUCUCUCACAUUGAUAUCACGCAAAUACUAACACCUGCACGGCUACACUUUGUUUUUAUGUUUGUUUAUUAUUCUUUUUCUGACCUGUAGUCUUCCAUUCCUGGAAGGGUUCCCCUCCCGCGCGGUGUAGGUUCGGCCAGGUGUGUGCCAAACGGCCCAUUAAUCUUGUCGGCACCAGGACUACUACCACCCAUUUAGGCCUACAGGCCACACACCGCGUGAGAGUUUCCUAUGAGGAAUCCUAUGGGUAAAAAAAAAAAUAAAAUAAACACGCUGUAAUUGGCUGUCUGAUCCAAGCAAAUACACAACAGCACUGUCCUGAUUGGUUGUCUUAUCGAGGUGAAAAUAUUACAGCACUGUUCUGGUUUGUGGUAUCGGCAGGGCCUUAUGAAAAAAGAGCAAAUGAUUUUAGGCAAAAGCCAUUAUUCUCCAUCUUCUAAAUAAAAGCUUUGCUGUUGAAUUUGAAGUCACAAAGACAUGAAUGCGUUUACAUUUUCCGACAUUCCUACAACUUAACAGGUUUAUCCAUCAAUCCCAUUCCUGCAUAUUUUUACAGUCCUUAACCCUCUGUAUGUGAGCUGCAUAAUGUUGGGGACGAAGACAUGUUUUUUUUUAUUGAAUUGGCUCUGUACUCCACUAUUUUAAAUUUAUAAUCUAACUAUUUAUGUGUGGCUAAAGUGCACAUUCUUAGCUCCAUUCUCAGAUGUUAUCAUCAUAAUGUUUGGGACAAAUGGCAUCACAGGUGAUGCCCUGAAAUGGGGGGACUAUUUAUAAAAAUUGCUGUCAUUUCUACAUGUUGAAACCAAAAUGCAUAAAAAUACUCCUUAAAUAAAAAGCUGGAAAUGUGCACUUUAGCCACACGUGAAUUGUUAGAUUCCAGAUAUAAAACUGUGGAGUACAGAGCCAAAUCCAGACAUACAUACUAUACGACUAUACAGUCAUAUGCUACAUAAUGUACAACAAAGGUUUGUUUCUUUUACAUUCACAUUUAUUUUGGAAGCUUCUUGAAGCUUUGUUUGCUAUUUCAGCUCUUUUGUUAUUGGGCAUUAACUGCAUUAUAGAACACGUGGAUUGGAAGGCCUGGCCACCUCCAGUAGACCCAUCCACCACCCAACUGGAUUUUACUGAACAUCCUUUCUUUACUUCACACCACUGACAAUGCCAACUGACAGCAGAUUGAAGCCGUCAAAUGAAACAAGGCAGCGUCUUGCUAUUUUCUUGCUGCUUGUGCUAGCAUGGCGUGGAUGCUGUUGUGUCAAGGCCUGGAAUUGGCCAGUUCCACAGUGGAGAUAUGGCCAAAAUGCAUCACAUGUUAGAGGCACACUUUGCAUUCUGGGAUGUGUUUUGUUUAUGUAUAUCUUUCUUUUUUGAAGCAAAAGUCCUGUUUUAUCCUCUAGCUUUACUUCAGCGCCAGAAAUGUUUUCAACUCCGUUUAUCGCAUGUUCUCAAAGCCGAGUGUGUAGUUUUGAUUAGCACAUCUUGUAAUGGCUGAAUAUGUAGUUCUCAUUAGUGUGUGAUCUCAGCUGAGUGUGUGGCCCCCGUUAACUCAUCUUCGAAUAACAGAUUAUGUGGCUACCUUUGGCUUGUCUUCUAAUAGCUGAAUGUGCGGCUAUCGUUAGCUCGUGUUCUAAUAGCAGAAUUUGCGGUUAUGAUUAGCUUGUGUUCUAAUAGUAGAAUGUACAGCUACUGUUAGCUCGUGUUCUAAUAGCAAAAUGUGCAGUUAUCAUUGGCUCGUGUUCUAAUACUAGAAUGUACGGCUACUGUUAGCUCGUGUUCUAAUAGCAGAAUGUGCGGCUAUUGUUAGCUCGUCUUCUAAUAGCGGAAUGUGACUUCUGUGUCAGCUGUGUUACUAGAGCUGAAUAUUUGACUCCCUUGUGUUAGCUGAAUAUGUGCCUUCCAUUAGUACAUCUUCUCAAAGCUGGAUGUGUGACUUCCAUUGGCACAUCUUCUCAUAGUGUGAUGCGAGAUGGACAGACCUUGGUGGCUGUUUCCAUUUGUCACCUCUGCUGCCACUUACGUAUAAUUCAACACAGACUGGUCUGUCAACACAACGUGGCCUUAUGUGUUUAUGCAGGUGUUUGGCAAGAGAUUCAUUUUGUUGUAACCCUGCAGUACACAGGAUUUAGAAUGAGUGAUAAAUACUAUCUAUCUAUCUAUCUAUCUAUCUAUCUGUCUAUCUACAUCUGUCUGUCUGUCUGUCUGUGUGUCUCAGCAUCCAUAUGGGGUGGAUUACUCUGUUAAUUAGAUAACUGAAAGGAUUCUUGUUCCAGUUAAAUGCACAAGUAUUGGGACGGUUGUGUUGAAUUGAUUGUUCUCCCUCUGUACUAAUCAAAUUUGUGUUUCAAAUCUAUGACUCUGAGGCAAAAUUCACGAUCUCUGCUUUUAUUUCAAGUGUAAUUUAGUAAAAAAAAAAAAAAAAACAAUGUGGAUGAGUGAAUAGAUCAUUCUCUUUGAUUACACGCACAUUAUGCAGUCAACAGCAGUACUGUAGUGUGUAAAACAGAAAACAAAUGAUCACAGCCUUGGGUACAAGAUCUCUGCAAGCUGGGCCAGUGUAGCAGCUGCUAAGCUUUGUGUUUCACCUGUAAGGCAUGUUGUUAUGACUUCUGUGGGAACAUGACCUUCUGUGAUGAGUUUUCUUACAUCAGGUUGUUUGAUGAAUGUGGUACGUGCAUGUUUGCUUGUUUGUCUUUCUCUGUUUGCUCAGUUGUUGAAUGUCACGUAGUGUGUGCGCAACUACAGAGGUUAGAAAAAAGCUAUAGGACACUGUCCACAGUAUUACUGCAAAGGUAAGAUGUAUUGUUGCAUUUGAGAAUUUGUUUAGUCAAGCAUUGUUGCUAUGAACUCUUAGUAAUGGUGGCACUGAUAAUAUUUGCAGUGCUGUAUAAGUUACAUAAAUAUCAUACAUAUUUGUAUUAGUAUUGACAAAACUGACAACUGAGAGCAGCUGUUUUUUCUACACUGUAAAGGGUCUUUUUUUGUAAAAGGCGCUAUACAAAUAAAAUUGAUUUGAUUUGAAAAUGUUAGCCACUGGAACUUUUGGUUAAAUUAGACUGUAAAGCUUAUUACUGGAAGGUAAUACACCAUAUUGAAACUGGCAAAAAGUUUAUGUUAUUUAAUAUAAUGUCUCUCCCUAAAUGUGGUCAGGUGAGUAUGAAAUGUAGUCAGGUGAGUAUGGGGUAACAUUCUAUGAAUUAUCCUUCAAAAGAGCUAUAUAACUCCCUCAUCAGCACAACAGAGUACCUUUAUGAGCACUACACAAGCAACCAUACAUGCAUAUGUCAAUAGACGCAUGGUCUAUGUCAGUAGGUAAGUCAUUUAGUGCAUCACUGGUGACAUAACACACCGUAAUGUCUAUUUAUGAAUGUUUAUUUACUGCUUAUGAAGGAGUCGUAUGGCUCUUGUAAAGAAUCAUUCACAGACAGCCUUAUAACAGUGUCAGUCUUACAGUGUCAGUUAGUGUACCAUUUACGGUGCUUUGGCUGUUCCCACACCUAGCGGUCAGAAGGUGAGCUUGAAGGAGAGGGUGUUCUCCAGCCCCCGCGGCUCUAGCACCAAGGG